Molecule: ribosomal RNA, 500 nt
Filed under: uncultured bacterium
Lineage: Bacteria
Description: partial 16S ribosomal RNA
Rfam family: Bacterial small subunit ribosomal RNA
Source: RNAcentral
AUUGAACGCUGGCGGCAUGCCUUACACAUGCAAGUCGAACGGCAGCACGGGUGCUUGCACCUGGUGGCGAGUGGCGAACGGGUGAGUAAUACAUCGGAACGUACCUUAUCGUGGGGGAUAACGCAGCGAAAGCUGUGCUAAUACCGCAUACGCCCUGAGGGGGAAAGCGGGGGAUCGCAAGACCUCGCGCGAUUAGAGCGGCCGAUGCCUGAUUAGCUUGUUGGUGGGGUAAAAGCCCACCAAGGCGACGAUCAGUAGCUGGUCUGAGAGGACGAUCAGCCACACUGGGACUGAGACACGGCCCAGACUCCUACGGGAGGCAGCAGUGGGGAAUUUUGGACAAUGGGGCAACCCUGAUCCAGCAAUGCCGCGUGAGUGAAGGAGGCCUUCGGGUUGUAAAGCUCUUUUGUCAGGGAAGAAACACCGGCUCUAACACAGUCUGGGAAUGACGGUACCUGAAGAAUAAGCACCGGCUAACUACGUGCCAGCCGCCGCCGUAA